This 479-nucleotide ribosomal RNA is filed under the name marine sponge bacterium LIQUIDdw07F01. RNAcentral's name for it is "bacterial SSU rRNA". It matches the Rfam family "Bacterial small subunit ribosomal RNA", at positions 92 to 567 of the family's 1533-position model. The record is from RNAcentral.
CGAGUGGCGGACGGGUGAGUAAUGCUUAGGAAUCUGCCCAGUAGCGGGGGACAACCUGGUGAAAACCAGGCUAAUACCGCAUACGCCCUACGGGGGAAAGCAGGGGAUCUUCGGACCUUGCACAAUUGGAUGAGCCUAAGUCAGAUUAGCUUGUUGGUGGGGUAAUGGCCUACCAAGGCGACGAUCUGUAGCUGGUCUGAGAGGACGAUCAGCCACACUGGAACUGAGACACGGUCCANACUCCUACGGGAGGCAGCAGUGGGGAAUAUUGCACAAUGGGCGCAAGCCUGAUGCAGCAAUGCCGCGUGUGUGAAGAAGGCCUGCGGGUUGUAAAGCACUUUCNGUAANGAGGAAAAGUAUGUAGUUAAUAACUGCGUUNCCUGACGUUNNUUACAGAAGAAGCANCGGCUANCUCCGUGCCAGCAGCCGNGGUAAUACGGAGGGUGCGAGCGUUAAUCGGAAUUACUGGGCGUAAAGCG